Molecule: ribosomal RNA, 491 nt
Filed under: uncultured bacterium
Lineage: Bacteria
Description: bacterial SSU rRNA
Rfam family: Bacterial small subunit ribosomal RNA
Source: RNAcentral
AAAUGAAUAGACGGGCACCCGCACAAGCGGUGGAGCAUGCUGUUUAAUUCGAAGCAACGCGAAGAACCUUACCUAGGCUUGACAUCCCCGGCAAAGCUAUAGAGAUAUAGUGGAGGUUACCCGGGUGACAGGUGGUGCAUGGUUGUCGUCAGCUCGUGUCGUGAGAUGUUCGGUUAAGUCCGAUAACGAGCGCAACCCUUGUUGUUAGUUGCCAGCACUUUGGGUGGGCACUCUAACAAGACUGCCGGUGACAAAUCGGAGGAAGGUGGGGAUGACGUCAAAUCAUCAUGCCCCUUACGUCUAGGGCUACAGGCAUGCUACAAUGGCCGAGACAACGGGACGCAAUCUCGUGAGGGUGAGCAAAUCCCUAAAAAUCGGUCUCAGUUCGGAUUGAAGUCUGCAACUCGACUUCAUGAAGUCGGAAUCGCUAGUAAUCGCGGAUCAGAAAUGCCGCGGUGAAUACGUUCCCGGGUGUUGUACACACCGCCCGU